RNAcentral lists this ribosomal RNA (632 nucleotides) under Pelagimonas varians. RNAcentral describes it as "bacterial SSU rRNA". It matches the Rfam family "Bacterial small subunit ribosomal RNA", at positions 65 to 745 of the family's 1533-position model. The record is from RNAcentral. Lineage: Bacteria; Pseudomonadati; Pseudomonadota; Alphaproteobacteria; Rhodobacterales; Roseobacteraceae.
AGCGCACCUUCGGGUGAGCGGCGGACGGGUUAGUAACGCGUGGGAAUAUACCCAGAUCUACGGAAUAGCCUCGGGAAACUGAGAGUAAUACCGUAUACGCCCUUCGGGGGAAAGAUUUAUCGGAUUUGGAUUAGCCCGCGUUAGAUUAGAUAGUUGGUGAGGUAACGGCUCACCAAGUCUACGAUCUAUAGCUGGUUUUAGAGGAUGAUCAGCAACACUGGGACUGAGACACGGCCCAGACUCCUACGGGAGGCAGCAGUGGGGAAUCUUGGACAAUGGGCGCAAGCCUGAUCCAGCCAUGCCGCGUGUGUGAUGAAGGCCUUAGGGUCGUAAAGCACUUUCGCCAGAGAUGAUAAUGACAGUAUCUGGUAAAGAAACCCCGGCUAACUCCGUGCCAGCAGCCGCGGUAAUACGGAGGGGGUUAGCGUUGUUCGGAAUUACUGGGCGUAAAGCGUACGUAGGCGGAUUAGAAAGUAUGGGGUGAAAUCCCAGGGCUCAACCCUGGAACUGCCUCAUAAACUCCUAGUCUAGAGUUCGAGAGAGGUGAGUGGAAUUCCGAGUGUAGAGGUGAAAUUCGUAGAUAUUCGGAGGAACACCAGUGGCGAAGGCGGCUCACUGGCUCGAUACUGACG